AUUGAACGCUGGCGGCAUGCCUUACACAUGCAAGUCGAACGGCAGCGGGGUAGUUCUUGCACUACUGCCGGCGAGCGGCGAACGGGUGAGUAAUAUAUCGGAACGUACCGAGUAAUGGGGGAUAACCAAUCGAAAGAUUGGCUAAUACCGCAUACGUCCUGCGGGAGAAAGUGGGUUAUCGCAAUACCUCUCGUUAUUCGAUCGUCCGAUAACUGAUUAGCUAGUUGGUGGGGUAAAGGCCUACCAAGUCGACGAUCAGUAGCGGGUCUGAGAGGACGAUCCGCCACACUGGGACUGAGACACGGCCCAGACUCCUACGGGAGGCAGCAGUGGGGAAUUUUGGACAAUAGGGGCGACCCUGAUCCAGCCAUGCCGCGUGUAUGAAGAAGGCCUUCGGGUUGUAAAGUACUUUUGUUAGGGAAGAAAAGGGAAGUGCUAAUACCACUUUUUGCUGACGGUACCUAAAGAAUAAGCACCGGCUAACUACGUG
Molecule: ribosomal RNA, 490 nt
Filed under: uncultured bacterium
Lineage: Bacteria
Description: partial 16S ribosomal RNA
Rfam family: Bacterial small subunit ribosomal RNA
Source: RNAcentral